CGAGAUUUCACGAGAUCCCGUUUGCUCCAUCGUCCACAAUCAUGGUGGACUACAAGGAGGCGCCCUUGGCUUCUCGGCCAAAAACACUGGACCCAAACGAGUAUUUUAACCUCUCUCUGGAGAACCGCCGGGCCGAAGAGGACAAGUUGGCUAUGCGGUCCAACCUGAAGCUCCAGUACCAGACUCAGCUGAACAACCCGCACAGAAAGGCCCCUCAUUGAAGACCCGGCCCUGAAUCGCUGGAUGUAUGCCCGGUCCCACACCUACCCUUACUUCAAGGCCACAUCCAAGACCUCUCUGACUGGGCUCCUGUUUGGAGUGGUGCCUCUCUUUGCCUUUUACUACCUCUUCAAGACAGACAGGGACAAGAAGGAGGCGGAUAUUAUAGCUGGAAAGUACGAUCGCCGGUUCUCUCUGUCAUCAUGAGCUGCGCUGAGACCUUCAUGUUCUAGUGAUGCCAGUGUCUAUUAUUAUUAUUAACUGAAUAAAAUUAUAUUGUCAAAAACA
Molecule: RNA transcript, 507 nt
Organism: Gymnodraco acuticeps
Lineage: Eukaryota; Metazoa; Chordata; Actinopteri; Perciformes; Bathydraconidae
Gene: ndufb4
Gene name: NADH:ubiquinone oxidoreductase subunit B4
Exons: 3
Source: RefSeq, a predicted model, not a curated record